Molecule: ribosomal RNA, 340 nt
Filed under: uncultured bacterium
Lineage: Bacteria
Description: bacterial SSU rRNA
Rfam family: Bacterial small subunit ribosomal RNA
Source: RNAcentral
AAUCAACGCUGGCGGCGUGCCUCAGACAUGCAAGUCGAACGAUUAAAGCUCUCUUCGGAGAGUGUAUAGAGUGGCGCACGGGUGAGUAACACGUAAGUAAUCUACCCUCGAGUGGGGAAGUAACGUCCGGAACGGACGCUAAUACCGCAUAAUGCAGCGGCACCGCAAGGUGACAGUUGUUAAAGGAGAAAUUCGCUUGAGGAGGAGCUUGCGGCAGAUUAGCUUGUUGGUAAGGUAACGGCUUACCAAGGCUACGAUCUGUAACCGGUCUUAGAGGACGGUCGGUCACACUGACACUCGAAUAACGGGUCAGACUCCUACGGGAGGCAGCAGUCGGGAA